RNAcentral lists this ribosomal RNA (468 nucleotides) under uncultured bacterium. RNAcentral's name for it is "partial 16S ribosomal RNA". It matches the Rfam family "Bacterial small subunit ribosomal RNA", at positions 28 to 507 of the family's 1533-position model. The record is from RNAcentral.
GACGAACGCUGGCGGCGUGCUUAACACAUGCAAGUCGGACGGAAAGGCCCUGCUUUUGUGGGGUGCUCGAGUGGCGAACGGGUGAGUAACACGUGAGUAACCUGCCCUUGACUUUGGGAUAACUUCAGGAAACUGGGGCUAAUACCGGAUAGGAGCUCCUGCUGCAUGGUGGGGGUUGGAAAGUUUCGGCGGUUGGGGAUGGACUCGCGGCUUAUCAGCUUGUUGGUGGGGUAGUGGCUUACCAAGGCUUUGACGGGUAGCCGGCCUGAGAGGGUGACCGGCCACAUUGGGACUGAGAUACGGCCCAGACUCCUACGGGAGGCAGCAGUGGGGAAUAUUGCACAAUGGGAGGAAGCCUGAUGCAGCAACGCCGCGUGCGGGAUGACGGCCUUCGGGUUGUAAACCGCUUUCGCCUGUGACGAAGAGUGAGUGACGGUAAUGGGUAAAGAAGCACCGGCUAACUACGUG